AAUGCAUGGUGUGGACACUUUAUAAGCAAUUCCUUAAAUCUCUCCCAAGAUAUGUACUAAUUCUCCAUUUAGUUAGGUGAAUGAGGAUAUGUCAUUCCUAAGGUU
Molecule: small nucleolar RNA, 105 nt
Organism: Dendrobium catenatum
Lineage: Eukaryota; Viridiplantae; Streptophyta; Magnoliopsida; Asparagales; Orchidaceae
Source: RefSeq, a predicted model, not a curated record